UCCACUUAAAUUUCUUUACAAAAUUUUUGCACAAAAUUCUAAAGAUCAGAAGCAAUAAGAUCCUAUUUAUACAUCAUUUUCAAAAUCGAGCAAGGCCGGAUCUAAUUGGGCUGCCACCAACUUUUCCUUGCAUUGACCUCGGCAGUCUUUGAAUCCUUCGUAGUAUACUUUCAUAAUCUCUGCACCGAGUUCAUCAGAAGUCCGAUAGUCCUGCUGAAUCUGCUUGAGCAAUUCUUCGGUCAUGGGGGGAUCCCGUUCCCGAAGUACCUUAAUCUUACUACGAAGUUUACAGCGCUUAGCCCUGUGGGCCUUCCUAUCAUCCCGAGCCUUUGUAUGAACUUCGCUAAGUUGUGCUGCCAGGUCUCGAUGUGCUGUAACAAUCUCUUCAUUCUUAUUCUUCAGAGCUUCAGUCUCUGCAACGAAGUGGACAUUCAUGUUGGCCAAUUUAUGCUCACUGGCUUUUGUUGUCUUUAGUUCUUCCCUGACUGAGACCAACACUUCGUGAGUUUCCCUCAGAUCAUCUCUAUUUUGGGCCAAUUCCCUCUAGAGACCUUCAUUGGCACGAAAAGCGGAUUCGCAUUCCUCUCUUUCCCGAGCCAAUGUGGCCUUCAACAUGUUGAUCUCCCUUUUCAUGGUCUCUUCAUCAGACUCGGCAUUUAUGUGUCUAGGACGUAAACGCCCGAAGACUGCAUUUGCCUGCACAUAUUCGGCAGUAUCCAGUCAAUUUUAGAUAUUUAAACAAGAAAGGAAAUAUUUAACCAAGAAAAGUGUCACUUACUUUUGCCAAAUAACUCAUGCCUUCGUCAAGAAAAUUCCCGUUCGUAUGAUCAUUAAAUCGAUGAUCGUCAUUUUCCCGAACGAAGGCAUCAAAGAGGUGGAAGGGAAAAUUGGCAUUAUACCGAGGCCACAAGGUCGGCAUUCCAGUAGCCUCGUCAUGGAAUUUUUGUGAUGAAGGCCUUGGGGGGGAAGGCCUUGGUUGGUCACGAAUAGGAGAAGGAUCCAUAUAUAAAUUUUUUGUGGAAGAUGAUUGAGCUGGAACAGGAUCGGGAACUGAGGAAUGUACAGGUGUUGAACUUGGAUGACUGUUAGAUGGUCGUUUCCUCUUUCGAGAUGGAGUCGUAGCGGGUUCAGUUCGCUCUUCUUCAUUAGUAGUUCGAGUCUCCAUUGGGAUCAUUGGGGAGAGAACACUCGAAGAAGGCACCCUCAGGUCUUCGGCAGUCAAAGGAGUAACUUGGGUCUUUAGCUUCUUGAUUCGAAGGGCCUGUCUGCGAUCGCUUGUAGGAAGAUCAAGUAGGCUCCUUCGAACUGUUGUAGAUUUGGCAACUGGUGGCGCUGGGUUAACAGCUGGUGGCGUUGGGUCAGCAGCUGGUGGUGUUGGGUCAGCGACUGGCGGUGUUUGGUCAGUGAUUGGUGGUGGUAAGUCAGCAGUUGGCGGUACCGAUUCGGCGAUAGGUGGGGGUAUCGGAUUGACAUUUGAUUCAGAUUCAGAAAAACCUUCAGAAUCUGAUGGUAUAGAAAUCCGUUUGGGCUUUCGAGCGACACUCUUUCUUCGACGUGGUUUGAGUUGUAUUUCUGGUAAAAUGGGCUCUUCAAUUUCGGGCUCAAUGGUUCGAGAUUCGACAUUGAUUUGAGGUGCUUCGGUAGGAGGUGUCUCAAUAGGUGGUUGGAAUUUAGAAGAAGCUUCCGGUUGUGAAGGUUCAGCACCAACCUUUGUAGACUUUCCGACUACAUUAUCUUCGGACGGGAUUUCCUGCUGGGAGGAUUCGGCAGUGACUUCUACGGACUUUCCAGCUAGGAAAUCCUCCAUCUCCUUCACCUCCGAAGACGAUGGUUUGAUCAAAGUUACUGCAGAAGAUUAACAGUUCUACAUCAAAAUCCAUACUACAGCAAUUUUCAAAAUAUUGAUAAAGUAAAUCCAUACUUACAUUUGUGGUCGUAUAACCACGCUUGUUUAGAUAGAAGUCCGUGUUUCCACUCUUCCUUCGGGAAAUUGUCAAAUAGACCUAUCAUUUCAACCUCGCGUUCUUCGGAAAUGUCUCCAAAAUCAGCAGAAGUCUUCUCAUCGGUGGCCCAGUUCGGUAAGGAAGAAAUUUCAGGUCCCUUGACGUAAAACCAUUUUUCAUGCCACCCCCUAUUGCUCGAAGGAGUGUUCACCAGCGAACGUCUUUCAAAUUUUUCUCUUGUUCUCAAUUCCUGCUUACUUAUGACUUUAAACCCUCUUUCGCGAGAUUGACCGAUUUUAUAAACAGUAAAAAAGAAGUCAAGAGCGGGUUCGAUUCCGGCUUCAUGACAAAAUGCAAUGAAGGCCAGAAUAUGAAUAUAAGAAUUUGGCGUUAAUUGGGCGAAUCCAACGCCAACAAACCCUAGAAUGGUCACUAGAAACGGGUGUAGAGGGAACCUAACUCCUUUCUCGAGAAUUGUCACUUGGACAGCCGUCCACCCUUUAGGCCUUUGAUACAUUUUUUCCUCAGACCUAGGAACUCUUACCAGAUGAGUGUCCGGAAUAUGACACCGAUCUCGAAUCUUCCAUAAUUCCUUUUCAACGACCGUUGACGGAGUAUUGGCAUGGGGAAAAAAUUCUUUACUCCUGAAGAAUUCAGAAGGAGCAAGUCGAGGUUUAGGAGGCAUUUUCAUUUUAUCUGGAAUGACAGAUUGGGGGUUGGACCUCGAAGUUUCUUUACGGGGACUGGGGUUAGUUGGAACUGUAGUGAGGGGGGUUGCUCGUAUGGGAGAAUUUUGACUGGUGUUUGGGGUUGUCAUCGAUCGUAUUUUGCAGAGACGGUGAGGGAAGCUAUGGAAGGAAGAAGGGAGUUUGAGAGUCCGGAAAUUCAAAUUGGCAGGUAAAACUGUCAUAUUUGGUAAAGUUUAUCUUUUAUACUGACGGUUACACAGUAGUCGAGGGCGGCACAUUAAAUUGGCAGUCAUGAUUACGAAUUUGAAAGGGUUGCGUCCGGAUUGAGCUUUAGAUAUUUAACAGAUUGGGCCUCCCCUUAGAUUUCCGGUCUUGAUCCGUCUUUCCAGUAUCCUUGUUGUUCCCAUCCUUCAUCAGUUGGACCUUGGUAAGUCAUACUUUGGGCCCAUUUCAAUCCUGUUGGAUCUCAUAAUAUCGUGGACCGCUUAUACUUUUCUAUUAAAUAUCCUAUUUAAUAAAAAACUAGGGGGCAAUGUUGGGUCAUGAUAUUUCCUCUAUUGGGCCGGACGGAUUGGGCCUAUCCAUUUAAUUAACCUAUUGGAUCUUUGUUAUUGAGUUUUAUAGUCAUUGGGCUUAAUAUUUAUGUUACCUUUAUCAUAUCCUCAUAAUGAUGGGCUGGGUCUAAGAAUUGAUCCAUUAAAGCUUUUUAUAUCUAAGCCUUUGACUUGUAAUGAUGAAAAAAGAGAGCAGUUGACCAAAAGUCUGCAGAUCAUUAAUGUGGAUGGGAUUUUAUCCAGCCGGCGGCAGGUACAGUAGGAAAAAGGUGACAACCUGCAUGCAUCCGGCUGAGACCAUAGAGGAGUGGGGAGCUGUGUCAGAUUAGGGUUGGUGGCACAAAAAAUCGAGCAUGAGAGUAUAACCUAGCAAGGGAGUCUUCUAACAAAAGGUACGCAUACAUUUUUAUCUCUCUCUAGACGCUAGACAUUUUCAUCCUCCAUUGUUAACCCUUGUGACCGCCUGUACUAACUCUCACGCCGGAGUUAUCCCCCGACGGUCCAGCCGUCAAGCUUUGUGUGUUGAUCGUGUUUACUUUGCAGGAUCUGGACGUCUUAUGUGAUUGGGACGUAGUAGAAGAUCUUGGCGUUAACAUUGGUGCUAGAAGGAGGGCUGAGUUCUAGUGUCCUGAGUAUUUUUCAAUCACAUAUUCCGGUCGUUCUACGUCAGUGAUCAUGGGGAAGAGUAGAACACCUACACCUGAAGGACAGCCGAUAACUGUCAGUGAGACGGCACCAAGAGUGUCUGUAAAGGAUCGUUUGGGACCUACAUUAAGUGUUCAUGCCAGCACAGCGUCCAAACGUUCGCAAGAAGAUUCUCGACAGAAAGUUGUGAGCAAAGCUAAGAGGAAGCUAAUUUUCACGACGGAGAAAGGAUCCAGUCAUGGUCGAAAACGAGUAGAAGGCACCUCGCCUAGAACUCAAUACCGAGACGACCAAGAUGAAAAGGCCUCCCGACUGGUUAAGAUGACAGAAGAAACAGAUAGGGCCAUGGAGGCACUUACGAAGCAAAGGUAGGAUAUAGCUGAGCAGAUGUCUCGGAUGGAAGAGUUGAGAGAUGAAGCGUCCAGUUACGUUCGGUCCGAAGAGUGUGGGCAUCAAAGUGGGAAGGAACCCGCUCAUUCAGGACGUGAAACUCAAGGCCAACAUCGAGAAAGAAGAAGAUCGAGAAGCCCUACUCCUCGAAAAUUGAAGGGAGCGCACCAUCAUGUCGGUUCUAGGGAGCAGGGCCGAGGUGAACAUAGAGGCCGAUCCAGAGAACAUAUUCCCGAGAAUACAAAGAGGGUGCUCGUUAUUGCCCAUUCUCACCACAGUCACCGGACCCAGAGACGAAGCAGAUCUAGGGGUCGUACACCAGAAAGUCCACCUAAGGCACUCCGCUUUGGAGACCGUCAUCAUAAAAGUCCUUCGAAAAUUGGGGGUAUUGUGGUUAAAGACCGAUCUACUCAAAAGAGGAAGGAAUCAUCAGAGAAAGAAGUGUCAUCACAACCAGAAGGAGUGCAGUAUCUGGUAAAAGAAUUGAAGGAGCUCCGAAAACAGUUAGCUGAGGUCCAACAGGUGAAGGAUACUCCGGGAAAGAAAGCAUCCCCAUUUUCUUCGGAUAUUCUUAAGGAGAAGGCAGACACCACCAAGAAGUUGCCUCACAUGGAAAGUUAUGAUGGAUCGGGGGAUCCUUAUGACCAUAGCCAAGCAUUUGACCGGCUGAUGGAUUACUACGAUUUUACUGAUGCUGCUAAAUGUCACACGUUUGUUACGACGUUAAGAAAGGAUGUCAGGCAGUGGAUGGGGACUCUGCCUGCAGAUUCAAUCUUAUCAUGAUCCGAGCUCUGCGACAAGUUCCACGCUCGCUUUGGGAGUAACUAAAUAAGAGGGAAGCCCACGGGUUCUCUGGCACAGGUCAGACAAUACACCAAUGAGUCGUUGGGUCAGUAUGUAAAGAGGUUCCGAGAAGCCGUUGGUCAGGUAUCCGAUUUGAACGAUCUCCAAGCUGUGGGGUUGUUUCAGAAUUGUUUGGACCUAGUAAAGUCUGAGAAGUUGGUGAAGAAGCUGAUGUUUCAUCAUCCGAAGAGUUUAGCAGAAGCUUUUGAUAAAGCGGAAGGUUAUAUCGUAGUGGAAGAGGCUAUGAACAGUCUGAAACGAUCUUCCUUGGACCGAAAUAAGGAGGCGAAUGCUCCUAAAGUCGAUGUCGAGCAGAAGAAAGGGGGGGGGUACAAUGAUCGAUCGGAAGGCAGCUCUAAAAAAUUCAGUAACACUUGGCGACAAGGAGGUAAUCGCCCAUCUGCCCAGAAGGUGAAUAAGGUGUAUACCAAGCUGAACACAGAUAGAUCAGUAAUUCUAGAUCAGAUCAGGGGCCAACCGUUCUUCGAGCCGCCUCAUGAUAACUUCAAGCCAGGGCAAGGCAACACUCGGAAGUAUUGUGGCUAUCAUCAAGCUACGGGUCACGAUACCAAUGAAUGCUGCAAUUUGAAAGAUUUUGUGGAGAGGAAGGUUCAAAGUGGUUUGCUAAUUCAAUAUGUGGCUGGGAGGGAUCAACUGGAGCAACAGAAUGCCGACCGCACGGUUCAGACGGUUCAAACAAAUCCUCCCGUACAGCCUGCCCCGAAUCAGCCACCAAGACAUGUCAUCGACAUAAUAAUAGGGGGGACAUCGGGAAAGUUGGUAGGAAAGAAGAGGAGGGGGUAUCUGGAUUUAGUCAUGUCCGUGGCGGGUGCUCCCCCGAAGAUUGAUAGACCUUUUUUGGGAACUGUUAUAUCCUUUACCGAUGCAGAUUAUCCUUUGGAGCCCAUCGAACCCCAUGAAAGAGCACUGGUGAUCACUGCGCAAGUGGGUUCGGUAGACGUGUAGCGUAUGAUGAUAGACAACGGGUCUUCGGUGGAUAUUCUAUAUGCCCAUGUUUACCAAAGGAUGCAUCUUGAUGGGCGGAAGAUGGAGGUUGGACAGGAGGCUCCUCUGUAUAGCUUCAGCAAUGACCCGGUCAGAGUGGCCGGAACUAUUGAGCGGCCAGUCAUCUUUGGUACCGCUCCACGGCAGAUAGAAAUAACAUGCAAGUUCUAUGUUGUGCAUGUAGAUUCGGCCUACAAUGCCAUUUUAGGAAGACCUACUUUGGCUGCUCUCCAAGCAGUGACUUCCAUUCCUCAUUUUAAGAUCAAGUUCCCUACGGCACAUGGAGUAGGAGAGGUUGCGGGGGAUUUGGAUCUGGCCCGACGCUGUUAUUGGAAUGUUGUCAUUUCCUCGGGAGUUGGGGUCAGCAAGCAUAAGCAAACUAUGGCAAUCGAGAUCGAGCCCUUCAUAGAAAGUAGUUCAAAGCCAUCAGUUAUUCCCGUAGGGGAGACAGAGGAGAUUGAGUUGGUCCUGGGAAAGAAGGAUAAGGCAGUGAAGAUUGGUUUGGGUUUGCCAGAACCUCUCCGGACAAAUCUCAUGGAACUUCUUCAAUGCUAUGCAGACAUCUUUAUAUGGGAACCACAAGAUAUGCCUGGGAUCAACAGAAGAAUCGCUGAGCAUCGUUUAGACGUAGAUCCAUCGAAGAAGCCAGUUCGGCAGAAAAGGCGGAUCUUUGUACCCGAACGUCAAAAGAUCAUCGAUGAGGAAAUUGAAAAGCUGAUAGCCGCCGACUUCAUUUUCGAAAUCGACUAUCCAGAGUGGAUGGCAAAUGUAGUGUUGGUGCAGAAACAGAACGGGAAAUGGAGAGUCUGCAUCGACUACACCGACCUGAACAAAACAUGCCCGAAAGACUACUAUCCUUUACCCCAUAUUGAUCAACGUAUUGAUGCAACUUCGGGAUAUGCACUACUAAGCUUUAUGGAUGCUUUUUUAGGUUAUCAUCAAAUAUCUAUGUGCAAGGAAGAUAUUCCAAAGACAGUAUUCAUCACACACCGUUCGGUGUAUGCCUAUAAGAAGAUGACCUUCGACCUGAUAAAUGCUGAGGCCACUUACCAGAGAAUGAUGAACUUUAUCUUCCACAAGCAGCUGGGAAAGAAUAUGGAAGUAUAUGUAGAUGACAUGAUUGUGAAAAGCAUGAUUGUUCAGAAGCAUCUAGAUGACCUAGAGGAAUGCUUUCAAAUAGUCCGCCAUCACAAAUUGAGGCUCAACCCCACCAAAUGUACCUUCGGACUCGGUGCCAGGAUGUUCUUGGGUUAUCUAGUCAGUCAAAGGGGCAUUCAAGCCAGUUCGGAAAAAAUACAGGCCAUCCNNNNNNNNNNNNNNNNNNNNNNNNNNNNNNNNNNNNNNNNNNNNNNNNNNNNNNNNNNNNNNNNNNNNNNNNNNNNNNNNNNNNNNNNNNNNNNNNNNNNACCCUAAACCCUAAACCCUAAACCCUAAACCCUAAACCCUAAACCCUAAACCCUAAACCCCCUAAAACCACUAAAACCACUAAAACUCCUAAACCCUAAACCCUAAACCCUAAACCCUAAACCCUAAACCCUAAACCCUAAACCUCCUAAAAACCCUAAACCCUAAACCCUAAACCCUAAAACCCCUAAAACCCCUAAAACCCCUAAAACUCCUGAAACUCCUAAAAACCCUACACCCUAAACCCUAAAACCCCUAAAACCCCUAAAACUCCUAAAACUCCUAAAAACCCUAAACCCUAAACCCUAAACCCUAAACCCUCUAAACCUUAAACCCUAAACCCUAAACCCUAAAACCCCCAAAACUCCUAAAACUCCUAAAAACCCUAAACCCUAAACCCUAAACCCUCUAAACCCUAAACCUUAAAUCCUAAACCCUAAACCCCCUAAACCCCUAAACCCUCUAAACCCUAAACCCUAAACCCUAAACCCUAAACCCUAAACCCUAAACUCUAAACCCUAAACCCCCUAAACCCUAAACCCUAAGUCAAAUAAUUCCAUUGUCAGGAGAUUAUGAAGCUCGUGGGACAAGGAUGAUCAAGUAUUUGGCAGAGUUGAAAAACCGACUUCGAUAUUUUAUCUCUUAUGAUUUUCAAGGCACAGAACGUAACGACAAUUCCAUUGCCGAUGCCUUAUCGAAACUAUCCACUACGGAUGCUGUCGUUUUCAAUGGGUCAGUCUAUUUGGAGGUUUUGCAGCAGCCAAGUAUCCAGCAUAAAGCUGUGAUGUGUAUCGAACGAUCUGACUGCUGGAUGACUCCCUACAUCGAAUAUUUGACAGAUGGCGUCCUUCCUUCGGAUCAGAUGCUAGCAAAUAAGAUCAAGUACAAGAGUGCCAACUUCGUUCUUAUUGAUGGGGAUCUUUAUCGAAGGGCAUUUUCGUCACCAUUAUUAAAGUGAUUGGUUCUGUCUGAAGCUGAGUAUGCUCUUCGGGAAGUCCACGAGGGCAUUUGCGGUGAUCACAUAGCUACUAAGUCACUGACAUACAAAGUUCUUCGGCAGGGAUACUACUGGCCAACGAUCUUUAAGGAAGCUACGGAGUAUGUGAAGAAGUGUGAGAAGUGUCAGCUCAACAGUCCGAUCCCACAUCAACCACCUAUACUCAAUUCUAUUUCCUAUACCCUUUGCUGUCUAGGGGGUUGAUAUACUGGGUCCGUUGCCGAAAGAUAAAGGACAGGUCAGUUUUGUCAUAGUUGCUAUUGAUUACAUGACCAAAUGGGUAGAGGCGAAGCCACUUCGGUUGAUAACGGAACAAAAAAAAUCAAGGAAACACAGCCAAAGCCCAACCCAAAGGGUAAAAUAAAAAUGAGCCAAGCUAUUUAUCUAAAUUCUGUGACAAAUUCAACAAAAGAUUUCAGAGAAUCCAGGUAUGAUUCAUGUUGCAUAAAUAAAGCCUCUGGCUUGAAGCUCAAAAUGCUUAUUCCCAAAAUAAAUAUUAAAAAAUAAAUGUUAGAUGUGAUUUUGGAGUGGAAUCUUAAAACUGAGAGUUACAGGACUAAAAAAAGGGGGAAAGAAACAGAAUCCAAGGUAAAGCUACAAUUUUUCCUUUUAUUUCAAGCUCACAAAAGGGAAAAAAUACCUAAAACAGAAAGACGAGUGCUUAAAGGAGUGUGAAACACAAAAUCAAGAACUGAAUGACCCAAAAAGAUAAAAGCUAGACCAGCUGGCAACGAUACAUACACAAACAAAGACAUGCACACACAGGAGGGGGACGAGGAAAAGUGGAGUAUAUAGGUACAUGUCGACCUAAAACCACAUCUAACGAUCAAUAAACCUUAAAAACCCACAAAUGUGGAGAGAGAGAAAGAGGGGUUUUCUUCUUUACCUGAGAUAGUGUGGAGAGAGGGGUUUUCUUCUUCAUUACCUGAGGUAGCGAGAAACGUUUCUGAAUUUCAGUACUUACCCCCAAAGUUUAAGCUAAGAACAAGGGAUAUUUGGGGAUAAAGAAACAUAAGAUAAAAUUUGAAUUUUGGAAGUCUGAAUAGAUAAAUAGAGUACAAAAAGGAGGGAAACGGAAAAGACUAAAUAGUGCAGUUCAUGCCAUUAUCCUACGAGGAUAACAUAUGGCUGAAAAUAUAAACAGAAAGUUUGAACUUUGGAAGUCUGAAGGAUAAAUGGAGUACAAAAAGGAGGGAAAUGGAGUACAAAAAGGAGGGAAACGGAAAGACCGAAGAGUCGCAGCCACAAAGUUAGACUAUACUAUGAAAGUAUACUUUGUGCUUUGUGCAGGAUGCCCUUACCCUGCACAAAGUAUAGUAAAGUACUUCAUAGGGUAACAAGAGGUAGCCACCUAGCUUAGCUGGUAGGAUAGUAAAUAGCGGAUCCGGUUACUAUGAAGUUAUUUUUUUAUAAGUUGGUCAAUUGACCAAUAGAAUUCUAACACACAUACAACAUCGCAUGCGUGUCAGUAUUCUAUUGGUAAAUUGACCAACUUACCUCAAAAUAAACUUCAUACUAACCACUUCCGUAAAUAGCUAAUUGCUGAAAGAAUGGAUGGGUUCAUUAAAAUUAAUUUGAAAUUUAAAACUUAAAAUUUAAAAUUAUACUCACUGUCCUAUAAUAAGUUCUAAUUUAAUUUUAGUGAUCUAGUUAAUUAUUUUUAAAAUAAAUAAUUAAAAAAAUAUAUAUAAAAUUUUUAAAUUGCAAAACUUGUCAUUAUUAGUACAUUAUUCGUAGUUUAUUAUGAUCAUAAUAUUUCAGCGUAUAUCUUGAAUUUUAAAAAAAUAAUAAUUAAUUUGAUCAUAAAAAAUAAAUUAAGACGUUUAUUAUGCAACAGAAGAAUACUAUUUUUCGAGGGCUGAUUGAAAUUGCAUAGGGUCACCAUCCAAUAUGGGUGCACUACAGGGGAAACAGAGAGUUCGAGUAACACCUAGCACAAAAAGCAUGCUAGUGAUGGACACCUUUCAGGAAAUAACAAUGUACGUGGACCUUGGAAGUCUCUUGAACUAACAAGUUCUUCAACAAUGCUACUAGUACAUAAAAAAUGGUUACAUAAUAUUCAUAUACACACAUACAUACUGACAUGCAUAUUGGGGGUCCCCGCCUGAUAUGUGGGACCUGCAAUAUACAUGUGUUUGUAUGUGACCCUUAUUUAUGUGAUAGCAACAUUAUUUUUCCUUUAUUACUUUUGUUUAUCAAUAACAUUUACAGAAACCUGAAAGUAUUAUUAUCUUCAAUAAAGAACAACAAAUCUUAUUUAACUUUUUUUUUUUACAAAAUAGUAAUCUCAUCUUUAUUUAUUAAUGAUGUAGAAAAUUUACCAGCAUGAUUUUAUUAUUAUAUCAUUACAAUCAAACUAGGUAUUUCUUAUUUUUAAGAGAUAUACUUGGAAAAUUAAUAUAUCUUUAUUAUUUCUAAAAUUUACCAUUGAGAUUUUUUUUUUACAGCAGUACAAGUAAGUAUUAUUAUUCUUGUUGUAUUAGACCAAAAAUAUUGUUAUAAAGUAAUAUAUGUCAUUUAAAUAUUAUUAAAAUAAUAAUCAUAAAAUAUUAUUAAAUGUAUUUAUUUCUAGCUUUGUUAUCGGUGUUAAAUUUGCUCUAACGAAUCAAAAGCCAUGUGAUUCCUUUUUUGCUAAUAAUUUAGUGACUUCAUGCAUACCUCCGUAUUAUUUACUCGCUUUUAAAUUCUUUCUGUUUACUUCAUGUUUAAUCCUAUUAAUUAUAAAUUACUCACUUUUCUAUUUGUUCAUGUAAAGAAAUUAAGUUCAGUCAUGUCGCGUCUGACUUGUCCAUCAGUAUUCUUUUCCACUGUACUAGUACAAGCCAUCUCUGAGUCAGCAAGUUUAAUUUGACGAUGGUAUGUUUAAAAUAUAUUUAUUCAAUAAUUUUUAAAAAGUUCUUAAUGAGAUCGUAAUGUACAGGGAUUUAAAGUUAAAAAAAUUAAAUAUGUUAAGUUGAUAUUAUAAAGUUAAAAUGAUGUAUAGAUGAUAAGAUAUAAGUGACCGUAAUAUAAUAUUAAACUAUCUUAAAGCUACAAUGCCUAAUUGUAAAAUGAAAAUGUAAAAACAUAGUAAGCUAUAUAUUCGUAAAGCAUUUAACAGGUGAUCGUAGAGCCUGCAUUCUCAUCAUAUAGUUCACUCAAUAUCGUAUAGUGAACAGCAAAUCACAGAGUAAAGAGAAGUUUACAGAGUGCUCAAGUAUAGUAGAACAAGUCGUUGAGCUAAACGUGGAGCUCAAGUCAUAUAGAAGAAUUAAGAUCAGACUCUAUGAUUAACCCAGCUCGUAAAGUAAGUCAAAACUGAUAGAGGACUGACAAUAAAGAGCAUUGCAAAAUGAGAAACUCAAUGCAAGGAUCAUAUAUUCUUAGUUGAUAUCGAAGUUUAGAAUAUGCUUGUGUCCAACAGCUAGCUUGGCGAAGUGACAACUUCCCCAUGCAGUUGGUGAAUCUGCAGAAUGAUGUGACAUGCUAAAUGUUGGGUCAUGAUAUUUCUUCUAUUGGGCCGGACGGAUUGGGCCUAUCCAUUUAAUUAGCCUAUUGGACCUUUGUUAUUGAGUUUUAUAGUCAUUGGGCUUAAUAUUUAUGUUACCUUUAUUAUAUCCUCAUAAUGAUGGGCUGGAUCAAAGGAUUGAUCCAUUAAAGCUUUUUAUAUCUAAGCCUUUGACUUGUAAUGAUGAAAAAGGAGAGCAGUUGACCAAAAGUCUGCAGAUCAUUAAUGUGGAUGGGAUUUAAUCCAGCCGGCGGCAGGUACAGUAGAAAAAAGGUGACAACCUGCAUGCAUCCGGCUGAAACCAUAGAGGAGUGGGGGGCUGUGUCAGAUCAGGGUUGGUGGCACAAAAAACCGAGCAUGAGAGUAUAACCUAGAAAGGGAGUCUUCUAACAAAAGGUACGCAUACAUUUUUAUCGCUUUCGGAACGCUAGACAUUUUACAUCCUCCAUUGUUAACCCUUGUGACCGCCUGUACUAACUCUCACGCCGGAGCUAUCCCUCGACGGUCCAGCCGUCAAGCUUUGUGUGUUGAUCGUGUUUACUGUGCAGGAUCGGGACGUCUUACGUGAUUGGGACGUGGCAGAAGAUCUUGGCGUUUACAUUAGCGCUAGAAGGAGGGGGAGUUCUAGUGUUCAAGAGUUGGCAAUCACAAAUAUUUAUUUGUUCUACGUUUUCAAAGAUGGGAAAGAGCAGAGCAGAUACACCUGAAGGACAACCGAUGGUUGUUAGUGAAUCAGCACCACGAAUACCUGUUAAGGAGCGUUUAGGACCUACAAUAAGUGUUCAUGCCAGCACAGUGUCCAAACGUUUGCAGAAAGAUUCUCGUCCAAAGGCUGUGGGCAAAGCUAAGAGAAAGCUAGUCUUCACGGCAAAGAAAGAGUCCGGUCACAAUCGAAAACAAGUAGAAGGAACCUCACUUAAGACUCGAUACCGAGAUGACCAUGACGAAAAGGCCUCCCAGCUGGCUAAGAUGGAAGACGAAACAGAUAGGGUCAUGGAGGCACUUAUAAAGCAACGGCAGGAUAUAGCUGAGCAGAUGUCCCGGAUGGAAGAGUUGAAAGAUGAAGCGUCCAGUUACGUUCGGUCCGAAGAGCGUGGGCAUCGAAGUGGGAAGGAACCCACUCAUUUAGGACGUGAAACUCAGGGCCAACAUCGAGAAAGAAGAAGAUCGAGAAGCCCUACUCCUCGAAGAUCGAAGGGAGCGCACCAUCAUGUCGGUCAUAGGGAGCAGGGCCGAAGUGAACAAAGAGGCCGAUCCAGAAAACAUACUCCCGAGAAUACAAAGAGAGCGCUCGUUGUUGCGCAUUCUCAUCACAGCCACAGAAUCCAAAGACGAAGCAGAUCUAGGGGUCGUACUCCAGAAAGUUCGUCGGGGGCACGUCGCUCUGUGGGCCACCAUCAUCGUAAAAGUCCCUCGAAAAUUGGGGGUUCUAUGGUAAAAGAUCGAUCCGUUCAAAAGAAGAAAGACUCCCCGGAGAAAGAAGCGUCAUCUCAACCGGAAGGGAUAGAUUUUUUGGUUAAGGAGUUGAAAGAGCUCCGAAAGCAGUUGGCAGAGGUGCAGCAGGUGAAGGACACCCCGGGGAAGAAAGUGUCUCCUUUUUCCUCGGACAUUCUUAAAGAAAAGGCAGACAUCACCAAGAAGCUGUAGCGCAUGGAGAGUUACGAUGGAUCUGGGGAUCCUUAUGACCAUAGUCAGGCGUUCGAACGGCUUAUGGAUUAUUAUGACUUUAUCGAUGCUGCCAAGUGUCACACGUUUGUCACAACACUAAGGAAAAAUGCGAGGCAGUGGAUAGGAACUUUACCGUCAGAUUCAAUUUCCUCUUGGACCGAGCUCUGUGACAAGUUCCAUGCCCGUUUUGGGAGAAACCGAAGAAGAGGGAAGCCUACAGGUUCUCUAGCACAGGUCAGACAGUUCUCCAACGAAUCUUUAGGCCAGUAUGUGAAGAGGUUCAGAGAAGCAGUUGGUCAGGUAUCCGACCUCAAUAAUCUCCAGGCGGUAGGGCUGUUUCAGAAUGGGCUAGAUCUGGUGAAGUCUGAAAAGCUAGUGAAGAAAUUGAUGUUCCAUCAUCCGAAGAGUCUGGCAGAGGCUUUCGACAAGGCAGAAGGUUAUAUUAUUGUGGAGGAAGCUAUGAAUAGCCUGAAGCGUCCUUCUUCAGACCAAAUGAAGGAGGCAGAUAUUCCUAAGACCCAGGGAGAUCAGAGGAAGACGGGGGGGGUAUAAUAAUCGGUCAGAGGGCAGUUCGAAGAAGUACAACAACUCAUGGCGACAAGGAAGUAGUCGUCUACCUGCGUCAGCCCCGAAGGUGAAUAAGGUUUACACUAAACUAAAUACUGAUAGUUCAGUGAUUUUGGACCAGAUCAGAAACCAGCCAUUCUUUGAGCCACCUCAUGAUAAUAAUAGGACAGGGCAAGGCAACUCUCGGAAAUAUUGUAGCUAUCAUCAAGCCGCAGGCCAUGAUACUAAUGAGUGUUGCAAUCUGAAGGAUUUUAUGGAGAAGAAGACUCAAAGCGGUCUGCUGGAUCAGUAUGUGGCCGGGAGGGACCAACAAGAUCGGCAGAAUGCCGACCGUACUGUUCAGACGGUUCAAAUGGUUCCACCCGUCCAAAAUGCUCCAAUACCACCGCUGAGGCACGUCGUUGAUGUUAUAAUCGGAGGGAUAGCAGGGAAGUUAGUAGGGAAGAAGAGGAGAGGAUAUCUGGAUUCGGUCAUGUCCGUGACGGGUGUUCCCCUGAAGGCCGACAGACCAUUUCCAGGGAAUGUUAUAUCCUUUACCGAUGCAGAUUAUCCUUCGGAGCCCAUCGAGCCACAUAAAGGAGCGUUAGUGAUCACUGCACAAGUGGGCUCGGUGGAUGUGAAGUGUAUGAUGAUAGACAACGGGUCUUCUGUGGAUAUUUUGUAUACCCAUGCUUAUCAGAAGAUGCAUCUUGAUGGGCGAAAGAUGGAGGUCGGGCAAGAGACUCCUUUAUAUGGCUUCAGCAACGAUCCAGUCAAAGUUGCAGGCACCAUCGAACUCCCAGUGAUCUUCGGCACAGCUCCUCAGCAGGUAGAAAUAAUAUGUAAAUUUUAUGUUGUGCAUGUAGAUUCGGCUUACAACGCCAUACUAGGGAGACCUACAUUGACAGCUCUCCAAGCUGUGACUUCCAUCCCUCACUUCAAAAUCAAGUUCCCCACAGCACACGGAGUCGGAGAGGUGGCAGGGGACUUGGAUCUAGCCCGACGCUGUUAUCGAAAUGCUGUUAUUUCCUCCGGAGUAGGAGUCAGCAAACAGAAGCAAACCAUGGAAAUUGAGAUCGAGCCCUUCACUGAAAGCAUCUCGGAGCCAUUAGUAAUUCCUGCAGGAGAGACAGAAGAGAUCGAGUUGGUCCUCGGAAAGGCAGAUAAAACAGUGAAGAUUGGUUCGAGUCUACAAAAGCCUCUUCGGAUAAACCUUAUGGAACUACUUCACUGCUAUGCGGACAUUUUUGCAUGGGAACCUCAAGAUAUGUCAGGUAUUAACCGGAAGAUUGCUGAACACAGACUGGAAGUGGAUCCAUCGAAGAAGCCUGUUCGGCAAAAAAGAUGGAUCUUUGCACCUGAACGUCAGAGGAUCAUUGACGAGGAGAUUGCCAAGCUGAUGGCUGCUGAUUUUAUUCUUGAGAUCGAUGUUAGGUUUGUAAUAUUCAUGAACGCAAUCAAAUUGCACAAAGUAAGCGAAAACGUGGAAAAUCAGAUUUUUAAAAAUUUUACAAACAAUAUACCCGGAUCACCCUUUAUGCACAAUUAUUAAUUAAACGAAAAAGAAAGAACAAGAAUCAUACCUUUGAAGAUCCGAGCUUCCUCAAGUACAAGUUCACCUCCAAUCCUUUUCGCGUUCAACUUGAAUCCACCGGGUUUGGUUCCUUCCUUUGAUCAACAUUAGCCACCUAAGUGUUUGGCCUCUAUAGGUGAUCCACCAAGGAAGAAAAAGAAUUCAAGAAGAUGGAUAUUUGGCAAAACCCUAGUUUUCUAUCUCUAUAGAAAAGACGUACUCUCCCAACUAUUGAAAUUACGUAUGUUGUUAAAAAGCCAACAACCACCUUCACCCAUAAUAAGACUCCUCUUAUUUAUAGAUGUGGGCAACCCUCCUUAACAAUUAAAGAAUUGGGUUUUAUUUUAAUUAAUUAAAUUCUUUUAAUUAAUUAAGCUCCCUAAUCUUAUUAGGAAUAAUUAAUUAAACUCUUUUAAUUAAUUUGCCUCCUAAUCCUAUUAGGAUAUUUGAGAGUACUUUUAUUAAUUAAUUCCCAAACUCCUUUAGGAAUUAAAUAAUAAUAAUAGUAAUAAUAAUAAUAAGANNNNNNNNNNNNNNNNNNNNNNNNNNNNNNNNNNNNNNNNNNNNNNNNNNNNNNNNNNNNNNNNNNNNNNNNNNNNNNNNNNNNNNNNNNNNNNNNNNNNNNNNNNNNNNNNNNNNNNNNNNNNNNNNNNNNNNNNNNNNNNNNNNNNNNNNNNNNNNNNNNNNNNNNNNNNNNNNNNNNNNNNNNNNNNNNNNNNNNNNNNNNNNNNNNNNNNNNNNNNNNNNNNNNNNNNNNNNNNNNNNNNNNNNNNNNNNNNNNNNNNNNNNNNNNNNNNNNNNNNNNNNNNNNNNNNNNNNNNNNNNNNNNNNNNNNNNNNNNNNNNNNNNNNNNNNNNNNNNNNNNNNNNNNNNNNNNNNNNNNNNNNNNNNNNNNNNNNNNNNNNNNNNNNNNNNNNNNNNNNNNNNNNNNNNNNNNNNNNNNNNNNNNNNNNNNNNNNNNNNNNNNNNNNNNNNNNNNNNNNNNNNNNNNNNNNNNNNNNNNNNNNNNNNNNNNNNNNNNNNNNNNNNNNNNNNNNNNNNNNNNNNNNNNNNNNNNNNNNNNNNNNNNNNNNNNNNNNNNNNNNNNNNNNNNNNNNNNNNNNNNNNNNNNNNNNNNNNNNNNNNNNNNNNNNNNNNNNNNNNNNNNNNNNNNNNNNNNNNNNNNNNNNNNNNNNNNNNNNNNNNNNNNNNNNNNNNNNNNNNNNNNNNNNNNNNNNNNNNNNNNNNNNNNNNNNNNNNNNNNNNNNNNNNNNNNNNNNNNNNNNNNNNNNNNNAGUUUGCAUCGACUACACCGACCUGAAUAAAGCUUGUCCGAAGGACUUUUAUCCUUUGCCCCAUAUCGAUCAGCUUAUUGAUGCCACUUCGGGGUAUGCAUUACUAAGCUUUAUGGAUGCUUUUUCAGGUUAUCAUCAAAUAUCCAUGUGCAAAGAGGACAUCCCGAAGACAGCAUUCAUUACCCACCGUUCGGUGUAUGCAUAUAAGAAGAUGACCUUUGGCCUUAUAAAUGCUGGGGCCACUUACCAAAGAAUGAUGAAUUUCAUCUUCGAGAGGCAGCUGGGGAGGAACAUGGAGGUGUACGUGGAUGAUAUGAUCGUGAAAAGCAUGCAGGUUCAGAAGCACUUGGACGAUCUGGAGGAAUGUUUUCAGACUGUCUGUCAUCACAAGUUGAGGCUCAAUCCGGCAAAAUGCACCUUUGGCCUCGGUGCAGGAAAGUUUCUGGGAUAUCUGGUCAGUUAGAGGGGCAUCGAGGCCAAUCCGGAGAAAAUCCAGGCCAUUCUUGACAUGAAGACUCCUCAGUCAUUCAAAGAUGUCCAACGUCUGACUGGCAGGAUUGCAGCUUUGAGGAGGUUCAUGUCCAAAUCUGCAGAGAGAUGUUUGUCGUUCUUCGACACACUGAAGGGGCCGAAAAAUGCGAAGACAUUCCAAUGGACUUCAGAGUGCGAAGACGCCUUCCAAGGCAUAAAGACAUAUCUGUCUUCUGCUCCCCUAUUGGUAAAGCCUGCCCCGGCAGAGACCUUGUAUUUGUACCUUGCAGCGAGUUCGUUAGCGGUUGGAGCAGUACUAGUUCGGGAAGUCAGUGGAAAGCAGCAUCCGGUCUAUUAGGUUAGUCACGUCCUACGAGAUGCUGAAACCAGGUAUCCAAAUAUUGAAAAAUUUGCCUUUGCUUUAAUAAUUGCUAGCCGAAAGCUUCGACAAUAUUUUCAAGGCAGGCUCCUAGUCGUCUACACGGAUCAACCACUGAAGAAGGUAAUGGGUAAGCCAGAGGUUUCGGGGAGAUUAGCAGCAUGGACUAUGGAGUUGUCCCAAUUUUUCAUUGAAUAUCAUCCCCGAACUGCUAUCAAAGGUCAAACCUUGGCCAAUUUUAUGGUGGAGUGUACAUUCACCGAAGCAGAUGCUGAGCUGCCAGAAGCAGAGACGUUCGAUGGGUCCUCUACGAUUUUAUGGUGGAGUGUACAUUCACCGAGCAGUUGCAGUUCUUCAACACGAUCAGAGUGCAUGGACGUUGUAUGUAGAUGGUCCUCUACGAUGAAUGUUAGUGGGACAGGGAUUAUCUUGACAAGUUCGAAGGGAUUCAAGGUACAGAAAGCAAUCAGAUUUGGGUUUAAAGCAACAAACAACAAAGCCAAGUAUGAAGCAGUGCUAGCAGAAGUUCGACUGGCGAAGAGUCUAGAAGUCCAGAAGCUGAUCAUUUACAGUGACUCUCAGUUGGUCGUCAAAAAAUUGUCAGGAGAUUAUGAAGCUCGUGGGACAAGGAUGAUCAAGUAUUUGGCAGAGUUGAAAGACCGACUUCGAUAUUUUGUCUCUUAUGAUUUUCAAGGCAUAGAACGUAACGAAAAUUCCAUUGCCGAUGCCUUAUCGAAACUAGCCACUACGGAUGCUGUCGUUUUCAAUGGGUCAGUCUAUUUUGAGGUUUUAUAGUAGCCGAGUAUCUAACAUGAAGCGGUGAUGUGUAUCGAACGAUCUGACUGCUGGAUGACUCCCUACAUCGAAUAUUUGGCAGAUGGCGUCCUUCCUUCGGAUCAGAUGCUAGCAAAGAAGAUCAAGUACAAGAGUGCCAACUUCGUUCUUAUUGAUGGGGAUCUUUAUCGAAGGGCAUUUUCGUCACCAUUAUUAAAGUGAUUGGUUCUGUCUGAAGCUGAGUAUGCUCUUCAGGAAGUCCAUGAGGGCAUUUGCGGUGAUCACAUGGCUGCUAAGUAACUGACAUAAAAAGUUCUUCGGCAGGGAUACUACUGGCCAACGAUCUUUAAGGAAGCUACGGAGUAUGUGAAGAAGUGUGAGAAGUGUCAGCUCAACAGUCCGAUCCCACAUCAACCACCAGAAGAGCUAUACUCAAUUCUAUCUCCUAUACCCUUUGCUGUCUAGGGGGUUAAUAUACUGGGUCCGUUGCCGAAAGAUAAAGGAAAGGUCAGUUUUGUCAUAGUUGCUAUUGAUUACAUGACCAAAUGGGUAGAGGCGAAGCCACUUCGGUUGAUAACGGAACAAGAGUGUUUGAAGUUCAUGAAAGAAUCCGUAGUGUUUCGCUUCGGAAUUCCUAAAGUGGUGAUAUCGAACAACGGACGCCAGUUUGUGGGAUCGAAAUUUGAAGGAUUUUUGAAAGAGCUGGGGGUUCAACACAGAAAGACUUCAGUGGCUCAUCCACAGUCGAAUGGGCAGGUUGAGGUGACUAACAGAACACUGCUGAACGGGAUCAAACGCAGAUUGGACGAAGCAAAAGGAAGAUGGUCGGAAGAGCUACUCAGUGUAUUGUGGGCUUACCGAACUACACCGAGGACUACGACAGGAGAUUCACCUUUUAGUUGGCCUAUGGUACUGAUGCCUUAGUCCCAGUCGAGAUUGGAUCUCCAAGUCUUCGCGUUAGUCAGUUCAGAGAGAUCUACAAUGACGAAGGACUGAAGGCCAACUUGGAUCUGUUAGAAGAAGUCAGAGAAGUGGCUUUGAUCAAGUUAGCAGCCUACUAGAUGAGAGUUUCCAAACAUUACAACAAAGGGGUAAAGCUCCGUAGAUUCGAAGUGGGGGACUUCGUCCUCAGAGAAGCUGAAGCAUCUACGCCGCAGAACAUGGGGAAGCUGAUGCCGAAUUGGGAAGGACCUUAUGAAGUAAUUGAAGUACCAAAGCCAGGAACUUACUGAAGGCAUUAGAUAGAUCCGAGAUUAAGAACACUUGGCACGCUGGCAGACUCCUGAAAUACUUUUAGUAGAGAUUGAGUCAGUUUAUCGGAAGUCUGUACAUGAUUGAUCACCAUCAAUAAAAAGUCACUUUUUCACAACUGAUCCUCUUCCUAUUUGUCCUAAGAUCACAAUGGUGUAAGGAGGAAUGGUAGGACUCGAUGGCCAUUCGAUGGCAGCCUAAUUAUUUGUUACCCCGUGUGGUAGACAAAUCCUGUGAUCCUUUUAAUAUUGAUUUUACCAAGGGUGGUAAAUCAAUGGGCACCGAAGUAAGGAGGACGGGGUGGACUCGCUGACCAUUCGAUGGUAGCCUCUUCGGCAGGAGUGUCCUUAUGGUUUUGUUAUACCCUGCGCGGUAGACAAAUUCCAUGGUCCUUUUUAAUUUUGAUUUACCCCGAGUGGUAAAUGGGCACCGAAGUAAGGAAGUAUGGUAGGACUCGCUGGCCAUUCGAUGGCAGCCUAAUUGUCAGGAGUGCCCUUAUGAAUUUGUUACCCCGUGUGGUAGACAAAUUCCAUGGCCCUUAUAAAAUUGUUCUACCCCGAGUGGUAAACAAAUGUCCUUAUAUACUUGUUCUACCCCGAGUGGUAAACAAGAUCUUGAUGGUGCAAGGAGGAUCAGCCGAAUUCACCUCACUCAUGACCUGUCUCUCACUUCGGAAACGAUAAGUAUACAUUACUUUAUACAAGUGUUAAGUUCGGUUCGGUUCAUUCAGUUCAUUUCAUUUCUUAACUUAACUGCUAUACACCUUAUCUGAUUUAUAGUUUAAGUUAAGUUCAUUUAAGAUCAUUGAUGCUGAAUUAUUGACAAGAAACGAAGUAAAUAGAAGUCAUAGUAAAGAAAAUUAAAAUUUCAUUAAACACUUAAACAAGUCCACUUAAAUUUCUUUACAAAAUUUUUGCACAAAAUUCUAAAGAUCAGAAGCAGUAAGAUCCUAUUUAUAUAUCAUUUUCAAAAUCGAGCAAAGCAGGAUCUACUUGGGUUGCCACCAGCUUUUCCUUGCAUUGACCUCGGCAGUCUUCGUAUUCUUCCUAGUAUACUUUCAUAAUCUCUUCACCGAGCUCAUCAGAAGUCCGAUAGUCCUCCUGAAUCUGCUUGAGCAAUUCUUCGAUCAUGGGAGGAUCCCAUUCCCGAAGUACCUUAAUCUUACUACGAAGUUUACGGCGCUUAGCCCUGUGGGCCUUCCUAUCAUCCCGAGCCUUUGUAUGAACUUCGCUA
RNAcentral lists this long non-coding RNA (21126 nucleotides) under Panax ginseng (ginseng). RNAcentral's name for it is "long non-coding RNA (PGIN_LNC011367)". The stretch from base 9864 to 9984 matches the Rfam family "MIR6135 microRNA precursor family". The record is from RNAcentral. Lineage: Eukaryota; Viridiplantae; Streptophyta; Magnoliopsida; Apiales; Araliaceae.